CUUGCGGGACGACCUGCAAGCGCUUCGAACAUCGGGGACGGCCCC
This 45-nucleotide non-coding RNA is filed under the name Enterobacter sp. RNAcentral describes it as "Guanidine-II sequence". It matches the Rfam family "Guanidine-II riboswitch aptamer (mini-ykkC)". From Rfam's summary of the family: Simpler in structure and has fewer highly conserved nucleotide positions than the ykkC-yxkD leader. Despite this each of its two stem-loop structures directly bind free guanidine. Lineage: Bacteria; Pseudomonadati; Pseudomonadota; Gammaproteobacteria; Enterobacterales; Enterobacteriaceae. RNAcentral also lists the same sequence under 1 other name. The record is from RNAcentral.